RNAcentral lists this ribosomal RNA (490 nucleotides) under uncultured bacterium. RNAcentral describes it as "partial 16S ribosomal RNA". It matches the Rfam family "Bacterial small subunit ribosomal RNA", at positions 28 to 507 of the family's 1533-position model. The record is from RNAcentral.
GAUGAACGCUAGCGAUAGGCUUAACACAUGCAAGUCGAGGGGCAGCAUGGUCUUAGCUUGCUAAGACUGAUGGCGACCGGCGCACGGGUGCGUAACGCGUAUGCAACUUGCCUCACAGAGGGGGAUAACCCGUCGAAAGACGGACUAAUACCGCGUACACUUGGGAUAGGGCAUCCUGACCCAAGGAAAUGAAAUUCGCUGUGAGAUAGGCAUGCGUCCCAUUAGCUAGUUGGUGAGGUAACGGCUCACCAAGGCGACGAUGGGUAGGGGAACUGAGAGGUUGAACCCCCACACUGGUACUGAGACACGGACCAGACUCCUACGGGAGGCAGCAGUGAGGAAUAUUGGUCAAUGGGCGAGAGCCUGAACCAGCCAAGUAGCGUGAAGGAUGACUGUCUUAUGGAUUGUAAACUUCUUUUAUACGGGAAUAACAAGAGCCACGUGUGGCUCCCUGCAUGUACCGUAUGAAUAAGCUUCGGCUAACUCCGUG